AUUCCAUGAUGUGGACAUCUUCUUAGGAACUCCCUAAAUCUUUACCAAGUUUCAUACAAUGACUCUCCUUCAUGUUGACUAAAACCAAUUAUAUCCAUUGUAAAUUU
Coffea eugenioides is the source of this 107-nucleotide small nucleolar RNA. The record is from RefSeq and is a predicted model, not a curated record. Lineage: Eukaryota; Viridiplantae; Streptophyta; Magnoliopsida; Gentianales; Rubiaceae.